Arachis stenosperma is the source of this 799-nucleotide long non-coding RNA. RefSeq lists it as uncharacterized. The record is from RefSeq and is a predicted model, not a curated record. NCBI's taxonomy places the organism in Eukaryota, Viridiplantae, Streptophyta, Magnoliopsida, Fabales, Fabaceae. The transcript is spliced from 3 exons.
UUCCCUAACUCCUAAUCCUAUCCUAGCGCAGCCACUCUCUCUCUCAAAGAAGCCCCAUUACUCCCAACCCCUCAUAGUCGCGUCUCCCCAUCCUAGCCCCGCCUCCCCAUCCCAGCCCCGCCUCCCACUCUCCCAUCGCCUCGCAGCCCCUCCUAGUCCCGCCGACCAGCCACUCCCAGUCUCGCGAAACCAGCGCCUCGUAGCCCCUCCCAGCAGCGCCUCCUAGCCCCUCCAAGCAAUGCCGUGCCGGACCAGCGCCCAGCAGCGACGUUCAGUCCUUCCUAGUAGCGCGAACCCAUCAGGCAUCAGCGACGUUCAAUCCCUCCCAGCAGCACGAACCAGCGAAACCAGCCCCUCCCAGCAGCGCCGAACCAGCACCUCCCAGCCCCUCCCAGCACCUCCGAGUGCCGGACACCAGAUUUGAAGCCUCCAAGUAAGAUUUUAUGCAUUCAGUGAAAAGAGUUCAUAUGAAAAACUUUGGAGAACCUAUCAAACUGCAGAAAUUUACAGGAUACAAAAACAAAAAAUAGCAUAUAAAUGGUCAUGAAAGAGAUUGUGUUCUGAUGAUGCAUUGGUGCUGUGCCGGUUCCUCUUCCAAAUGAAUCUACGAGCAUUAGAUCUCCGACUGCAUUGCCUGUUGCACCAGUCCUCGUAGAAACACUGGAAAUUUAUAUUUAUUUUAUGUUGUGUUGACUACUAAACUUUUAAACUUCUUUAAUUAUUGCUUGUUAAUUUUUGUCAUUGAAUUUCAUUGGAUUAAGACUUUGUUAGUUAUUGUAUAUUUGUUUGUUGAUUUCAA